AGAGUUUGAUCCUGGCUCAGGAUGAACGCUGGCGGCGUGCUUAACACAUGCAAGUCGAACGGAAAGGCCUUGUGCUUGCACAAGGUACUCGAGUGGCGAACGGGUGAGUAACACGUGGGUGAUCUGCCCUGCACUGUGGGAUAAGCCUGGGAAACUGGGUCUAAUACCAUAUAGGACCGCAUCUUGGAUGGUGUGGUGGAAAGCUUUUGCGGUGUGGGAUGAGCCUGCGGCCUAUCAGCUUGUUGGUGGGGUAAUGGCCUACCAAGGCGGCGACGGGUAUCCGGCCUGAGAGGGUGUACGGACACAUUGGGACUGAGAUACGGCCCAGACUCCUACGGGAGG
Molecule: ribosomal RNA, 342 nt
Filed under: uncultured Brevibacterium sp.
Lineage: Bacteria; Bacillati; Actinomycetota; Actinomycetes; Micrococcales; Brevibacteriaceae
Description: bacterial SSU rRNA
Rfam family: Bacterial small subunit ribosomal RNA
Source: RNAcentral